This 408-nucleotide ribosomal RNA is filed under the name uncultured bacterium. Its description in RNAcentral is "partial 16S ribosomal RNA". It matches the Rfam family "Bacterial small subunit ribosomal RNA", at positions 28 to 526 of the family's 1533-position model. The record is from RNAcentral.
GACGAACGCUGGCGGCGUGCUUAACACAUGCAAGUCGAACGAAGUGGCGAACGGGUGAGUAACGCGUAAUCAACCUGCCCUUCAGAGGGGGACAACAGUUGGAAACGACUGCUCAUACCGUAUACUGAGGGAGGGGAUUGCGUCUGUUUAGCUAGUUGGAGGGGUAACGGCCCACCAGGGCGAUGAUCAGUAGCCGGUCUGAGAGGAUGAACGGCCACAUUGGGACUGAGAAACGGCCCAGACUCCUACGGGAGGCAGCAGUGGGGAAUCUGCGGCAAUGGACGAAAGUCUGACGGAGCAACGCCGCGUGAGUGAAGACGGCCUUCGGUUUGUAAAACUCUGUUAUUAGGGAAGCGGUACCUAUUCAGAAAGCCACGGCUAACUACGUGCCAGCAGCCGCGGUAAUUC